GACGAACGCUGGCGGCGUACCUAAUACAUGCAAGUCGAGCGGACGUUUUUGAAGCUUGCUUUAAAAACGUUAGCGGCGGACGGGUGAGUAACACGUGGGCAACCUACCUUAUCGACUGGGAUAACUCCGGGAAACCGGGGCUAAUACCGGAUAACAUCUAGCACCUCCUGGUGCCGGAUUGAAAGAGGGCUUCUUGCUCUCACGAUAAGAUGGGCCCGGGGCGCAGUAGCUAGUUGGAGAGGUAAUGGCUCCCCAAGGCGACGAUGCGUAGCCGACCUGAGAGGGUGAUCGGCCACACUGGGACUGAGACACGGCCCAGACUCCUACGGGAGGCAGCAGUAGGGAAUCUUCCGCAAUGGACGAAAGUCUGACGGAGCAACGCCGCGUGAGUGAUGAAGGGUUUCGGCUCGUAAAGCUCUGUUAUGAGGGAAGAACACGUACCGUUCGAAUAGGGCGGUACCUUGACGGUACCUCAUCAGAAAGCCACGGUUAACUACGUGCCAGCCGCCGCGGUAA
Molecule: ribosomal RNA, 516 nt
Filed under: uncultured bacterium
Lineage: Bacteria
Description: partial 16S ribosomal RNA
Rfam family: Bacterial small subunit ribosomal RNA
Source: RNAcentral